Molecule: ribosomal RNA, 407 nt
Filed under: uncultured bacterium
Lineage: Bacteria
Description: partial 16S ribosomal RNA
Rfam family: Bacterial small subunit ribosomal RNA
Source: RNAcentral
AUUGAACGCUGGCGGCAGGCCUAACACAUGCAAGUCGAGCGGAUCGGCGGACGGGUGAGUAAUGCCUAGGACUCGGCAUGGUAGUGGGGGAUGACGUCCGGAACUGGGCGCUAAUACCGCAUACUAUCAGAUUAGCCUGGGUCGGAUUAGCUAGUUGGUGGGGUAACGGCAUACCAAGGCGACGAUCCGGAACUGGUCUGAGAGGAUGAGCAGUCACACUGGAACUGAGACACGGUCCAGACUCCUACGGGAGGCAGCAGUGGGGAAUAUUGGACAAUGGGCGAAAGCCUGAUCCAGCCAUGCCGCGUGUGUGAAGAAGGCCUUCGGAUUGUAAAGUACUUUAAGUUGGGAGGCGUUACCCGCAGAAGAAGCACCGGCUAACUCCGUGCCAGCAGCCGCGGUAAUAC